UAAGCCAGUCUAGAGUUUUAGUGUCAGGUCUGUGACAUCGUGAUGUCUCAAGCUCCUUCCAUCUUUGCAUGUUCCAUCCUUUGGUGGUAUCAUAGUCCAAGAUGGCAGCUGGAGCUCCAGACAGCACAUCCAUGUUUGAGGAAGGAAGGAGUAUGGGAGAUAAGGCAAAAGGCACUUGUCAGCUCAAUUAGGAUCCUUACUUUAUUUCCUCUGAAACCUUCCCCUUCCUUCACCAUCAGGGUAUCAUCAGCCAUCCUGCUGUGAAAGGGAGUCUGGGAAAUGUUUAUUUGUCUCUUUGUUUUAAGCUGGAUGCCUCCCCACUUCCAACAAUACAAUGGUAUAAUGAAGAAGAAAGUGAGGAUGGAUAUGAAAUAGCAACCAGCAAUCUCCACAGAAGGCUGAGAGCUCUCCAGGCCCUCAAAGGAAAUGGUUCAAAUCCAGGAUGGACAGAAAACCUGGAAAGAAAUCCCACGUGUGCGAUACCCUGCCCAGCCUUCAGCGAUGACGCUGAUGGUGGCAAAGGGUCCUGGGGGUUUAAGAAUCGCAGAUGCUGACUUCAAUACCCUCUGCCAAGGCCUUCUCUCCCAGCCUUCCCCGCAACCAAGGCCAACCACCUUUCAGCCUUGGACUGCCUCCCAAAUGCCAUUCACGUGCUCUGAGCUCCUUUUAUCACCAAAGCACCAGGUUUGUCCUCAGAAUGCAAAGAACAUGGGAAGAGUGUGGUGGUGGUGGUGGUGGUGGUGUGUGUGUGUGUGUGUACGAUGGUGAGCUGGGAUUGUUAUAGUCACCUGUAAAUGACAGGUCAAGGAGAGCUGUAAACCUGGCUUUGACACCUGUGUGACCUCAGGCAAGUGAUGUAAACUUCCCUGGGCCUCAGUAUUUUCAUCUGUGAAGUGGGAAUAACUUGAUGGAUAGAUAGAUAAAUAGAUAGCAGAAAGACAGACAGACAGAUAAUAGAGAAAUAGAGAUAAUAGAAGUUUUUCAAGGCUCAAGUGAGAUCAAGGGUACUUACAAAUUGCUGAAGAUUGAGAAAAUCUACAAGGAAAUAUUUAACUCCUGCCUGGCUUCCUUUGGGUAUUUCCCCAGGGGUCAGCAUUUGGGCAGUCCUGCACACUGAGGGGUGAUAUAUCUGGCUGUUAAAUUUUGGAAGCCAAGAAAAGCAUAGCUAGUUUAGAUGGAGUUUCUCAAUUGUUCAAAAGUUUUUGGCACUUUCAACACUAACACACAAUGUUGGGCAUUGCCUGAAAUACUUUUUAAAUGGUCAUUUCAGCCUUUUUUUCAAAUCACACUGUUUUCAGUUAAAAAAAAUUACAUCUUUUGGGAUCCCUGGGCAGCUCAGUCAGUUAGGCGUCUUCCUUUGGCUCAGGGCAUGGUCCCGGGGUCCCAGGAUGGCACAGAGAAAGAGGCAGAGACACAGGCAGAGGGAGAAGCAGGCUCUCCACAGGGGGCCAGAUGUGGGACUUGAUCCCACGACCCCAGGAUCAUGCCUUGAGCCAAAGGCAGAUGCUUAACCACUGAGCCACCCAGGCGCCCCUAUAAAGAGUAAUUUAGAAGUUUUCCAAGGUAAGUGCCACUAACUAAAGAAAAGCAGGCUUUGUUGGACAAGUUCAAAAUGACAAGUUCAAAAAAAAACAAAAAAAAAAAAUGACAAGUUCUAGGUGUGUAGAUUAGGGAUUGAACAUAGUUAAAAGUGGGGUUGAUAUUCCACGUUAGAGCAUCAACAAUUGCUGAAAACUCUUUCAGGAUGUGAUGUGUGGAAUUCUUGCUUUUUACAUCAUGAAAAAUCAUCUGGUUCCUCAUCACACGUUUCAAGUCUGGUUUGCACAUGAUGGGAGAGAUGGUUUCAGAUCAGUGAUCUCUUCCUAAGAGUGUCUGCACACAUAACACAUGGUGUCUAUACAUAGCUUCCAUUUCCAAUAAAAGCACAGCCAAAUUGGAAAGAAUCA
This is a long non-coding RNA of Vulpes vulpes (red fox), 1946 nucleotides long. The record is from Ensembl. NCBI's taxonomy places the organism in Eukaryota, Metazoa, Chordata, Mammalia, Carnivora, Canidae.